CCUCUUCAAGGCCUAAUCCAGAGCCCAUUGAAGUCAGUGGGAAUCUUUCUAUUGACUUCAGUGGGCUUUGGAUCAGGCCUUGGGAGCU
RNAcentral lists this microRNA precursor (88 nucleotides) under Chrysemys picta bellii (western painted turtle). RNAcentral's name for it is "miRNA (ENSCPBG00000023085.1)". It matches the Rfam family "mir-1803 microRNA precursor microRNA precursor family". The record is from RNAcentral. RNAcentral also lists the same sequence under 1 other name. Lineage: Eukaryota; Metazoa; Chordata; Testudines; Emydidae.